This 155-nucleotide ribosomal RNA is filed under the name uncultured Flavobacteriaceae bacterium. RNAcentral describes it as "partial 16S ribosomal RNA". It matches the Rfam family "Bacterial small subunit ribosomal RNA", at positions 379 to 533 of the family's 1533-position model. Lineage: Bacteria; Pseudomonadati; Bacteroidota; Flavobacteriia; Flavobacteriales; Flavobacteriaceae. The record is from RNAcentral.
CAGUCUGAUCCAGCCAUGCCGCGUGCAGGAUGACGGUCCUAUGGAUUGUAAACUGCUUUUAUACGGGAAGAAACCCUGGCUCGUGAGCCAGACUGACGGUACCGUAAGAAUAAGGAUCGGCUAACUCCGUGCCAGGAGCCGCGGUAAUAGAAUAU